UAUGGGAUCGAUCGUUUGGAAAUAAAUUUCCCUUUAUCUCUACCGUGAGUGGCGUGAAUGUUAUGCCGGAUCAUUUUGUUGACAUAAUAACCGUUCAUUGACAUUACCGUUCAAAAAUCAUUAUAACAUUUCUUAAUAAUAUUAUGGUACAUAUAAUUGCCUGUGGUAAUUUCUUUCAAAAAAUAUGGUCAAAGACUGUCCAUUGACUAGUACGACCCGCUUUAACAUCCUUAAAUUUCGUGGUUAGUUUUUCAGUCUGGAGACCGUUUUAAAAAUAGCGAAUGAAGAAAAUUUAUGAAAUAAAGGGACGAUAAAUGAUAUGCGUGCGUGUGUGUAAAUGUGGCAAUCGUGUUUCUCCAAGCCUGUUCUCGAAAAUUAAAUAUUUAAAAUUCAAUAAAAGAGUAAUAACCUAUUUCCCCAAUUGUUGAUAAUUUCAUACAUUUUACGACGUUCAAUUAUGUUUUUAGAGUACGAGGCACUAAGGAAUCUACCGAAUUUAUUCCGGCACCGAAUAAUCAUUCAACAAAUAGAUAUCCUUAUCAAUUUCCUGAAUAAAACAAACAAAACCGCAAACACAUGCUGUACAUGCAUGUGGGAUUAGCAGCUACAGCAGUCGACAAAUGAUAAACCGAUCAAUCAACAAUAAACCUACAUUUUAUACUAAUAUAUUUUAACGUUUUCCAAGCAAGCUAUCGAUCAGAUAAAAUGAACUGCCGGACUGAACGAUUGCUACAAAAGAUUAAUGGCCAUUUUCUCCGACGCGGUUCAAACUCAGUUCAAUUUUUUUUAUAUAGUUUCGAGAUAGGAUGAAUCGAGUUUAAACUCAGAUUAACACUGGAGAAAACGGGCAUAAAAGUUUUAUCCCUUUUCACCAGCCAAGAUGCUAAGGAUUGAUUAAAAUCAGAUAUAAGGAACGAAAAUGUAGGCGAAAAAUACUGGAGCAAAAUGCAGGAUUACGAGCCAGCAUGCCUGCGUUUCACUCAUCAGCUGGUCUACGAUUACGUGAAAAAAGUUUACUAUUUGUUCGGAGACAGCAUCGAGACUCUCUAGUAUCUUCAAAAUGAAGUUUCCGAUAUCAUCGAUCACGAUGACGGGCAACAAACCAAAGAGGUUUUUUUAUUUAUUGAUUUCAACUACUGGCAUCCGUUAUAUUCCGGGAACAGGAGUCAGCCCGAAACAUCGAUUUAUCGUCGUCUUCGAGCACCGAGGAUUCCGAAACAUUUGAAAAAAACGCAAGAAAACUUCACGUCCGUCGAGCCGAAUUGGUAGUCAACAACUCAUUGUCAAUCGCCAAUCGAAUUUGGAGUAGAGGAAAUUAGCGAGCGGUUCAAAAGAAGCAGUCACUGCGUGGCUCAAGAAUGUCCAAAUUUGUUGCGUAAAGAUCUUCUGGAGUUGUUCCCUGGCUGUGUCGAAGUGGCCUCACCGCAGUUUACCAUUAUAACUGUUAGUCAAAAAUUAAGUGAUCAAAGUCACCCGUGGAGCAAGGAAAUGGAAACUGAGAAGCUGGCUAUAUCCCUAUGUUUUACACCGUUCCAAGAGCUAUAGCAACAACCGAGCGAGGUUCGUUCGGGGCUGGUUUUAACAGCGGCUAUUACAUCCGAUCAAGAAACUGAAGAACGUCGGUUGGAAGCUGGUGCUAUGGUUUUUAUGACUGCUGUAACUGCCAACCAUUGAAUUACGAAGAUGCACAAUCCGAGGUUCAGCCUCCACCCUUCUACAAGGACGUUUCAUCGUAAAUCAAGCUGAUCUGGAUAACACGAGCUGGCGUCAAUCCAAAUUGGGAACUCAUAUCACCAAAAGGAUUUAUAGUUUAUACUACCGCUCAAAAGUUUGGGGACGCACGUUGAAAUUUCUUGACGUACCAAAUGUUAAAUUGUUUAAUCGAAAAAAGAGAUAACGGAAUUUUGCGAACGGCAUUUUAAAGGAGACACAUGCAGCUUCAAUUUGCGCCUUAAUAAAAUCUUUUUCAAUUUUUUUUCGGUUCGGUA
RNAcentral lists this long non-coding RNA (1988 nucleotides) under Venturia canescens. Its description in RNAcentral is "uncharacterized LOC122418958, transcript variant X3". Lineage: Eukaryota; Metazoa; Arthropoda; Insecta; Hymenoptera; Ichneumonidae. The record is from RNAcentral.